UACAGAGGGUGCGAGCGUUAAUCGGAAUUACUGGGCGUAAAGCGCGCGUAGGCGGCUUUGCAAGUCGGGUGUGAAAUCCCCAGGCUUAACCUGGGAACUGCAUUCGAGACUGCAUUGCUAGAGUAUGGGAGAGGGAAGUGGAAUUUCCGGUGUAGCGGUGAGAUGCGUAGAUAUCAGGAGGAACACCGAUGGCGAAGGCAGGUCUCUGGGCCACUACUGACGCUGAGAAGCGAAAGCAUGGGGAGCGAACAGG
This 253-nucleotide ribosomal RNA is filed under the name uncultured bacterium. RNAcentral's name for it is "partial 16S ribosomal RNA". It matches the Rfam family "Bacterial small subunit ribosomal RNA", at positions 524 to 776 of the family's 1533-position model. The record is from RNAcentral.